AUGACGAGUGGCGGACGGGUGAGUAAUGCUUGGGAACUUGCCUUUGCGAGGGGGAUAACAGUUGGAAACGACUGCUAAUACCGCAUAAUGUCUUCGGACCAAACGGGGCUUCGGCUCCGGCGCAAAGAGAGGCCCAAGUGAGAUUAGCUAGUUGGUAAGGUAACGGCUUACCAAGGCGACGAUCUCUAGCUGUUCUGAGAGGAAGAUCAGCCACACUGGGACUGAGACACGGCCCAGACUCCUACGGGAGGCAGCAGUGGGGAAUAUUGCACAAUGGGGGAAACCCUGAUGCAGCCAUGCCGCGUGUGUGAAGAAGGCCUUCGGGUUGUAAAGCACUUUCAGUUGUGAGGAAAAGUUAGUAGUUAAUACCUGCUAGCCGUGACGUUAACAACAGAAGAAGCACCGGCUAACUCCGUGCCAGCAGCCGCGGUAAUACGGAGGGUGCGAGCGUUAAUCGGAAUUACUGGGCGUAAAGCGCACGCAGGCGGUUUGUUAAGCUAGAUGUGAAAGCCCCGGGCUCAACCUGGGAUGGUCAUUUAGAACUGGCAGACUAGAGUCUUGGAGAGGGGAGUGGAAUUCCAGGUGUAGCGGUGAAAUGCGUAGAUAUCUGGAGGAACAUCAGUGGCGAAGGCGACUCCCUGGCCAAAGACU
This 651-nucleotide ribosomal RNA is filed under the name Alteromonas macleodii. Its description in RNAcentral is "bacterial SSU rRNA". It matches the Rfam family "Bacterial small subunit ribosomal RNA", at positions 88 to 741 of the family's 1533-position model. Lineage: Bacteria; Pseudomonadati; Pseudomonadota; Gammaproteobacteria; Alteromonadales; Alteromonadaceae. The record is from RNAcentral.